GACGAACGCUGGCGGCGUGCUUAACACAUGCAAGUCGAGCGGUAAGGCCCUUUCGGGGGUACACGAGCGGCGAACGGGUGAGUAACACGUGGGUGACCUGCCCUCAGCUCUGGGAUAAGCCUGGGAAACUGGGUCUAAUACCGGAUAUGACCUGCUGCUUCAUGGUGGUGGGUGGAAAGUUUUUCGGCUGGGGAUGGGCCCGCGGCCUAUCAGCUUGUUGGUGGGGUGAUGGCCUACCAAGGCGACGACGGGUAGCCGGCCUGAGAGGGCGACCGGCCACACUGGGACUGAGACACGGCCCAGACUCCUACGGGAGGCAGCAGUGGGGAAUAUUGCGCAAUGGGCGGAAGCCUGACGCAGCGACGCCGCGUGGGGAUGACGGCC
This 384-nucleotide ribosomal RNA is filed under the name uncultured bacterium. RNAcentral's name for it is "bacterial SSU rRNA". It matches the Rfam family "Bacterial small subunit ribosomal RNA", at positions 28 to 416 of the family's 1533-position model. The record is from RNAcentral.